GAUGAACGCUGGCGGCGUGCCUAAUACAUGCAAGUCGAGCGAACGGACGAGAAGCUUGCUUCUCUGAUGUUAGCGGCGGACGGGUGAGUAACACGUGGAUAACCUACCUAUAAGACUGGGAUAACUUCGGGAAACCGGAGCUAAUACCGGAUAAUAUUUUGAACCGCAUGGUUCAAAAGUGAAAGACGGUCUUGCUGUCACUUAUAGAUGGAUCCGCGCUGCAUUAGCUAGUUGGUAAGGUAACGGCUUACCAAGGCAACGAUGCAUAGCCGACCUGAGAGGGUGAUCGGCCACGCUGGAACUGAGACACGGUUCAGACUCCUACGGGAGGCAGCAGUAGGGAAUCUUCCGCAAUGGGCGAAGGCCUGACGGAGCAACGCCGCGUGAGUGAUGAAGGUCUUCGGAUCGUAAAACUCUGUUAUUAGGGAAGAACAUAUGUGUAAGUAACUGUGCACAUCUUGACGGUACCUAAUCAGAAAGCCACGGCUAACUACGUG
RNAcentral lists this ribosomal RNA (497 nucleotides) under uncultured bacterium. Its description in RNAcentral is "partial 16S ribosomal RNA". It matches the Rfam family "Bacterial small subunit ribosomal RNA", at positions 28 to 507 of the family's 1533-position model. The record is from RNAcentral.